ACGCCACCUUGCCUUACAAAGAUACCUUCUUGGUAUCUUUCAUCAAGUUCAUAAUCAGGAUAUUCUGGAAAAAAAGGUAGGGUUUCAAUUUAGCAUUUGGGGUAGGGGGACUAAGAAAUAAGUCUAUGGCAAUUAUUGCAGAAAGCAAAUGAUCAUAUGUCUCACCAAGCAUUUCAGUGACUUUGACUGUUCCUGGUACCUCAGCAGGCUCACCAGGUCCACCAGCAUUACAAGCUAGGACGCGGAACCUGUAUUCUGCACCCUGAGAAUCAGAGGUGGGGAGAGUGGUGGAAGGGCCUGUGGACUUACGGAUGCUGCUGCGACACUCUAUGACCUCAGACUGCAAGUAAGAGCCAAUCCCGAAGCGGUUUGUUGCAGCCACACGGAACACAUACUCAUUUCCUUCGAUGAUAGCCAAUGACUCUACUUCCUCCAUCACUGAUUGGCUCAUUCCAUUGUACUUCCAUGCUGUCCCUGGAGGACAGUGUGACAACUGGAGUGCCAGGAGGACCAGGAACUUUGAAUGGAUAUUGGGCUACAGUAGGCUCUGAAUUGAGGUGGCUGCCAUGAGAUAGUCAUGUGUUCAGGAGUAACAUCCAGAAUAUUAAUAGGACCUGUUGGUGGCCCAGGAACAUCAAGAACAGUAAGAUGUACGGCUACUGUUUUGCUACCGGCUGCAUUGGAAACUGUGAUUUGAUAUUCCCCAGUGUCUCUCCUUAAGCAGUUCUUAAUGAGAAUAGACGCCUUGAUGGCUCCUCUGGCAGUUCUUGAUGACCAUGGAUGAGCUAAUGGCUGUGGUCUCAAUGGUGGCUUCUUGAGGAGCAUGCAGAGAAAUUGCUUUAGCCUCUGAUAAAUAAAACAGACUGCGAGGAAAAUUACAGCGAGGAAAUUACAGACAUCAUCUCCUUUGAACAGGGAAAAGGUAACAGCUGAUUGAGAAACUUACCAAACUGAUAUUUGGCUGUUAUUGGAGAGGCCUGAACUGGUUCACCAACACCAUACAUGUUUUCUGCAGCAACUCUGAAGAUGUACUCUUUAUUGGGGAUUAAUUUGGUGGCCUUGAAGUUUGUAUCCUUGACGGUGGAUGAGAGCUUGUGCCACACUUCACUAUCAGUUGCUCGUCUCUCCACAACAUAGUUUGUGAUCUUAGAUCCACCAUCAUCGCGUGGUUCUCCACAGGCAACCCAUUUAUCAGAACCACGUGGACAUCUUUCAACUAUCCUGGACAACAACCAUGUUAUUUCUUAGCCAUUGGACUUCCACCUUAUCUUUAUUGAGUUCUGCUAAAAAGACAACAUCAGCACCAGGGGCUUCAAGAAUAUCUUGUGGAGGCCUGAUGAUCUCAACAGGAAUUUCUGGAAAGAAAAUGUGAAAUAAAUACAAAUAUGUUUACAUUUUGAUUAACAAUUUUAAAAAAUUGGUAACAUUAGAAUUGUUUUUUCACUUAAUAUGUACCUUCCACAAAAAGUCUAGCACGAGACUUCCUGUCUUCUACCCCGCAAGCAUAUUCACACUCAUCAUCCAGCCUGCAAUCUUUUAUAAUGAGUCUGUGUAUACUUCCAUCUUUUUCAAAUUUGUAUCUAAAGGAGACAUUGGAUUAUCAGUUAGCUUGCAAUGAUGGCCACUAAAUUGUCAAAAGUGUAUAUAUAGCUACAGAAAUAGAGAAUAAAAAGAUCUUGCUUACUUUUUGCCUUCUUUGAUUUCUCUCCCAUUUCUGUACCAUUUUACAUUGGCUUUCUCUCUG
Molecule: long non-coding RNA, 1744 nt
Filed under: Homo sapiens (human)
Lineage: Eukaryota; Metazoa; Chordata; Mammalia; Primates; Hominidae
Description: HSALNT0044011
Source: RNAcentral